UCAACGGCAACACGAGGGUUAUCCUGUCUCCUUUUUCUAAUCAGUGAACCUGACCUCUUCGUGAAGAAGCGAAGAUACACUCUAUAAGACGAGAAGACCCCAUGGAGCUUAAAACAUAGAAACAACUUCUUUACCCCCAAACCCUAAAAAAUAAGAAGAUCUGUUAGCUAGUUUUCGGCUGGGGUGCCCAAGGAGAACAACCCAACCUCCCUGACGACCUGUAUCCAAGAGCAACAACUCAAAGAAACAAUAAAUUGACGUAAAAUGACCCGAUUCUUAAUAAUCGAUCAACGAACCAAGUUACCCUGGGGAUAACAGCGCAAUCCAUUUCAAGAGCCCCUAUCGACAAAUGGGUUUACGACCUCGAUGUUGGAUCAGGGUAUCCCAGUGGUGCAGCAGCUACUAACGGUU
This 411-nucleotide ribosomal RNA is filed under the name Phrynobatrachus uzungwensis (Ukinga puddle frog). RNAcentral's name for it is "partial 16S ribosomal RNA". It matches the Rfam family "Bacterial large subunit ribosomal RNA", at positions 1993 to 2573 of the family's 2925-position model. Lineage: Eukaryota; Metazoa; Chordata; Amphibia; Anura; Phrynobatrachidae. The record is from RNAcentral.